GGGUGAAUGAGUGUGUGUGUAUUUAAGAACUGGGAUUGUUGUACAAGUCCCCCCAAAAUAAGCAUAGACAUUUGCUAUUUUGAUCUCAACUUUACUAUUGAAAAUGGAGACUCGGAGGUUCGCAACUGGUUCCAUUGCCAACCCUGUUCAAUUUCGGGACCAGCACUAUGUAACCCUCCUAGAUGCGUGCGUUAAAUCCGGUUCACUGUUCUCUGACCCAACCUUCACCCCGGACCAGAGCUCCAUCGGUAUGCCUACCGACCCAGACCCCAAAAAGGAGGUCAAGUGGCUGCGACCCAAGGAGAUCAGUGCCAAUGCUGUGUUUGUGGAGGACACGACGUGUACCACCGAUAUCUGCCAGGGCCAGCUGGGUGACUGUUGGCUUCUGGCUGCCCUGUCCUGCCUUACCAUGCACCCCAAUCUCUUUGUCAAAGUGGUACCACCUAAUCAGAGCCUGACAGAAUCCUAUGCUGGCAUCUUCCACUUCAUGUUCUGGCAGUAUGGUGAGUGGGUGGAGGUGGUAGUAGAUGACAGGCUACCUGUACGCGAGGGCCGCCUGCUCUUCAGCUACUCCUGUACCCGCAACGAGUACUGGAGCGCCCUGGUGGAGAAAGCCUAUGCCAAGCUGAUCGGGUCAUAUGGGAGUCUGAAGGGGGGUAAUAUCUCAGAGGCGAUGGAGGAUUUUACAGGGGGCAUAGCCUACUCCCUCCCUGUCUCCUCCCGCGCCCCCAGGGUCAUGUGGAAAGCCCUCUCUGCUGCCCUGUCCCGUGGCAGCCUGCUCAGCUGCUUCAUACAGGCUAGUAACUAUCGUGAGAUAGGCACAGUGACUGCAGAGGGACUGGUGAAGGGCCAUGCCUACGCCAUCACAGACACUGACACGGUGAAGAAGCCGGCUGGUGAGGCCUUGUUGCUGAGGCUGAGGAAUCCCUGGGGCUUUGUGGAGUACUCUGGACCCUGGAGUGACACGAGUAAAGACUGGGAUGAUGUGGAUGCUGCUGAGAAGAAAAGGAUUGAUCUGAAAAACAGUGAGGACGGAGAGUUCUGGAUCAGUGCGGAGGACUUCAACAAGCUGUUUGACACAGUGGAGCUGUGUAGUGUGGACCCUGACCCCAUAGUGGAAGAGGACACAUCCACUGACCCCGACUCCCCUGCUGACCCCCCCUCUGCCUGGACCCUCAGCUCCCACAAAGGCUCCUGGGUAUCGGGCUCCACUGCAGGGGGGAGCUGUAGUUACCCUCGAUCCUUCUGGAAGAAUCCCCAGUUCCAGCUUGUCCUUGCCGAGCAUGAUGAUGAUAUAGAGAUGACCCCGGGGGAGAAGAAGGUGGCAGAGAAGCAGAAGGAGAAGGCAAAGCAGUGCACCGUGCUGGUGGAACUGCUGCAGAAAGACCGGAGAAAGAAGGAGAAAAUCAACUUCCUCCACAUCGCCUUCCACAUCUACAGGGUUCCUCCAAAGCUCCGGGGCCUGUGUCUGGACCAGAGCUUCUUCUCUUUCAAGCAGCCUGUGGGGAGUUCUGGGGUGUACCAGCCUUUCAGGGCUGUGUGGAGGGAGGUGAGGCUGGACCCGGGAAACUACGUGAUCCUGGCCUCCACCUACAGUCCCAACCAGCCCGCGGAAUUCUUCCUCCGCGUCUACUCCAAAACUGGCAACAAUCUGGGGACCCAAGACUUCACCUGCUCCACUGGCUUCCUCAUGGUCAUGUCAAUGCCACCAGUCUUGCCAGAGGAUCGCAAGAGAGUACAGAAGACCUUUGAUGAGGUGGCGGGGCCGGAUGACAAGCUGAAUGCUAAGGAGUUCAUGAAGCUGGUUAACUCAGUUAUGGAGAAAGACUACCAGCUGCCACUGGAGACAUGCAGACAGCUCAUCUUUGGAGAGGAAACUGGGGGGCGUAGCAGUCUGACCCGAGAGCAGACAGAGCCUGUGCUGACCUCCCUUCGCAGUCUGCAGGUACGACUGCUAUAGUCCAUCUUCUUCAAGUUUGAUCAGGACUCUUCAGGGACUAUGAGCCCCUUUGAGCUUAGUCUGGCCCUCCAGGCUGCUGGUGUGCAGUGUGAUGGCCAGGUCAUACAGCUGCUGUGGGAGAGGUUUGGCUCUGGGGAGCUGCACCUGCCUUUCCAUGGCUUUGUGGCCUGUGUCACCAGGCUGCGCAAGCUAUUCGCCCUGUAUAAAUCAGAGAGCAACCCUGAGGUCAAAGACAGAGGAAUCAAUACUUGGCUGCUCCGACUCCUGACCGUGUGAGCAUGCUCUGUAAAGGGGGUUCCUGCGUAGGCACUGCAGGGGCAUUCUAUCUGACCAGGAACAUAUGAUAACAUCAUGCCUCUGCCGCUGCCCUCGUCCACACACACACAGGCGCACACGUACACCACACACACAAACAGCCCCUGGCCUUUGUCACCAUAAGAUAUCAGUUAAGUAUUUUCAGCAAUUGAGUCAAGUAUUUUCAGUUCUACAGCCAAGUAUUUCUUUAACCUUUCAUUAUUUGAGUUUUAAAUAGUGAAAAUGUAGUUGAUGCUCUGUAGUUGAAAUGUAUCCAAAAAUAAAAAAUGUUGUAAAAAUGAA
Oncorhynchus kisutch (coho salmon) is the source of this 2557-nucleotide RNA transcript. It is a transcript of the gene named calpain-9-like, with no coding region annotated. The transcript is spliced from 22 exons. The record is from RefSeq and is a predicted model, not a curated record. NCBI's taxonomy places the organism in Eukaryota, Metazoa, Chordata, Actinopteri, Salmoniformes, Salmonidae.